ACAGCAAGCAAAUUACAAUUUUGAUAUGUUACCAAGCAAGAAGUAUGAAAACAUUGAACAGCCCGAGGCAUCAAGGAAGUUUCCCUGAGAACUAUUAUUGAGUAAGAGGAUGUCGCUCAAGGAUGCUCCUGGGUUGCUCAAGCCAUCAGAAAAGCAAGCAGCUUCCUCACAGCUCAGGGCUCCAGUGGAAUCUGUGGCACAUGAGCUGCUCUCCCUGGCUUGUCCCUGGUCUCCUGAGAAAACCUUUUCCUUUGCUGUGGAACUUCAAAACAGGAAGCAGGGAGGCCUGCUUGUGAAUCAUUGAUGUCAUCAUCAGACAUAGUGUUCUCCUCAGUCUUUCGAAGCAGAAUGGUGGUGAAAUUUUCCUGAAAAGCUAUGCCCCUGCCUGCUGAAUUCUGAACAGCUACCAUAAUAACUUUGCCCCUUGAACUUCAGGCUCCCAUUUGGUUAACAAGCAAGCCCAAGAGACUGCUCAGUCUUUUACUGCUUCGUGCUAAUUGUAUGCUUGGCAGACGCUGUCUUCUCUUGUUGGUGACUGUGGUAGACACACACAAAAAUUGUGUCCCCGGUAGACACCAAAGCUCUGGAACCCGUGAAUCCUACCUUAUUGGGAAAAGGAGCCUUUGAAGGUUAAGUGUCUUGAGAUGAGAUAAUCUUCUAUUAUCUGAGUGGGUCCUAAAUCCAAUGACAGGUGUCCUUACAAGAGAACAGCAGAGGAAGAUUUGAGAUGGAAGAGGUGAAGGCCUUGUGACAAUGGAGGCAGAGAUUGGAGAAGUGCUCCUACAAGCCAAGAAACACCUGCAGCCACCAGAAGCUGGAAGAGGCCAAGAAUGGAUGAUUCUCCCCCUGCGCUUCAGAAGGGAGUGAGGCCCUACAGGCACCUCGACUUUGAACUUCUGACCUCCAGGACUGUGAGAGAAUAAAGUCCUGUUGUUUUACUUUAUUUUUUAAAGUAUUUAUUUAAGUAAAUUCUACACCCAAUGUGGAGCUUGAACUCAUGACCCUGAGAGCAAGAGUCCCACGCUCUCCUGACUGAGCCAGCCAGGCUCCCCUAAAGUUCUGUUGUUGGAAACCAGUCUGUGGGUGACUUGUUAUGGUGCCACAGAAAGCAAAUACACUGGCUUCUUACAAUCCCCUCUUCACCAUUACUGAAGGCUACUGCUCUCUCAGAUAUCUGCUGAGCUGCUCUCCUCUCAUAACCGUCAGGGUUUUUUAACGAAAAUUUAGACCAGCAAAGUGUGGGGCUCAGGCAGUGAUGCAUUUUGAAAACUGCACUGGUGGCUGUGACUUCAGCCUGACUCCAAGGCCACUGCCUCUGGCCUAGGCGAUAGGUCCUGAUCCGUUGCCGGGCCCGGGCUUGGCCUGUCUGGUAGCAGCGAGAUUGCAUGUUUGUCUUAUUUCCUACACUUCUCUAGAAGCUCUUGAGGCCUGUGCUGCUCAGACGUUAGUAUUAAACACACGCGGCUAGGCCCACCUUUAGCACUUUGCAUUCAGUCGGUCCCCAGUGAGGGCUGAGAAUAUGCAUUUUCAGCCAGCUCAGGUGAUGCUGCAGACUUCAGGUUGAGCAAGCCUGUAAGGUAACCAGGACUCUCUGUUUUGUCUUCCUCAUUUUUGAACUUUCAACAGCUUGGAGCAUAAGGCUCUGCUCUCAAUAAUAGUAACGGGAGUCGGAUUAGUUUGAACUGUUAAACCUUUGAGGACAAGGUCCGCAUCUUACACCUUUUUUCUAUGUCUUUAGUGCUCCAUGAGUGCCAGGACACGGCGAGUGCCAGCAGGAGACAUGAAAGGGCAGGUGUGCCAGCAAAACUCCCAUCUGUAAGAGGUGGCAGCACAUCACAGGAAGGGCCCAGGGAUGGCAGAAGCGGCUCCUUCAGAGAAGCAUUGCAUUGUUGGGGACCGUCAUCAAAAAGACGGGACCACCAACUGACCUGUGAGCUGGACCCGGGCACCCCCUCUCCUGCCCUUGGAAUGUGGGUUCCGCUUGCCUUUCCAGCUCCCAGAGGCUGCUCCAAGGACACAGCCUUGAGAGGGUGAUGUGGUGUUGAAAACCACCAGUAUAUACGUGACCGGGCCUGGUGAGGGCCUCAUAGUAACCUUUUAAGAUUUGUAGGGUGGGUGCAGGCGUCCGUUUGUCUUACUGUCACCCAAGAUAAGCCUCGUAUGAAAGGUCCCUUUGCUGUUAUUAAAACUGCCACCUACGCA
Molecule: long non-coding RNA, 2202 nt
Organism: Prionailurus viverrinus (fishing cat)
Lineage: Eukaryota; Metazoa; Chordata; Mammalia; Carnivora; Felidae
Exons: 2
Source: RefSeq, a predicted model, not a curated record